GACGAACGCUGGCGGCGUGCUUAACACAUGCAAGUCGAGCGGUAAGGCCCUUUCGGGGGUACACGAGCGGCGAACGGGUGAGUAACACGUGGGUGACCUGCCUUUAGCUCUGGGAUAAGCCUGGGAAACCGGGUCUAAUACCGGAUAUGACUCCGCGGCGCAUGUUGUGGGGUGGAAAGCCUUGUGCGGCUGGAGAUGGGCCCGCGGCCUAUCAGCUUGUUGGUGGGGUGAUGGCCUACCAAGGCGACGACGGGUAGCCGGCCUGAGAGGGCGACCGGCCACACUGGGACUGAGACACGGCCCAGACUCCUACGGGAGGCAGCAGUGGGGAAUUUUGGACAAUGGGGGCAACCCUGAUCCAGCCAUGCCGCGUGAGUGAAGAAGGCC
RNAcentral lists this ribosomal RNA (387 nucleotides) under uncultured bacterium. RNAcentral's name for it is "bacterial SSU rRNA". It matches the Rfam family "Bacterial small subunit ribosomal RNA", at positions 28 to 416 of the family's 1533-position model. The record is from RNAcentral.